GGAGGCGUGCCAGAGCGGUUGAAUGGGCCGGUCUCGAAAACCGGUUUGUCCGAAAGGGCAUCGGAGGUUCGAAUCCUACCGCCUCCG
This 87-nucleotide transfer RNA is filed under the name Candidatus Niyogiibacteriota bacterium. RNAcentral's name for it is "Candidatus Niyogibacteria bacterium tRNA-Ser". It matches the Rfam family "tRNA". Rfam says of the family: Transfer RNA (tRNA) molecules are approximately 80 nucleotides in length. Lineage: Bacteria; Candidatus Niyogiibacteriota. The record is from RNAcentral.